RNAcentral lists this ribosomal RNA (2190 nucleotides) under Drosophila eugracilis. Its description in RNAcentral is "eukaryotic LSU rRNA". The stretch from base 1340 to 2190 matches the Rfam family "Eukaryotic large subunit ribosomal RNA", at positions 1891 to 3227 of the family's 3401-position model. The record is from RNAcentral. Lineage: Eukaryota; Metazoa; Arthropoda; Insecta; Diptera; Drosophilidae.
CGUCGCUGCGUCAGCGAAUGACCGGAGUCGUGGGAGCAUUGGCGCGUGUGCUACGAGUCGACUGGGGAUUCAGUCCUCGGGCCAGGCGAACCAUCUAUGCCGGACUCAUGGAGCCCUGUGCUCUGUUUGGUGCCUCGGUAUGGUAUGUCGUGACGACGAGGCAAGUUGUAGCCAGGAGCGACUUCUUGCCUGCCAGAGGCUGAUCCUUUAGGAUGCCUCCCGGUAUGCCGCACAGUGUCACCUGGCGCUGCAGGUACUUGCUGGAGCCCCGCCUCUUGACUUGGCUGCUAUGAAAGUAGCAGUCAAGUACAAGUUGAAGCGUGGAUACCCGUUGGAGGAGGACGACUGGCUCUAUGGCGAGGACAUUUCAGGUCUGAGCUGGACACAACGAAUUGCGCGAGUAAACGAAUGCCUCCUGUCGGACUGGCAGAGCAGAUGGGAUGAUGGUGAUUCGCUCGGUCGGGUGACUCACAAGUUCAUCCCGGAUGCAGGGUUCGUUUACCGGAAUCGGAAUUUCGGUUUUUCGAUGCGCGCAGGAUUCCUGAUGACAGGGCAUGGGUCGUUCAAUGCAUUUCUGCAUAGAAGAGGCCUCAGUGAUUCCCCCGCAUGUUCAUGUGGCGAUCCAAACGAGGACUGGGAGCAUAUCUUAUGUGCUUGCCCCCUCUAUGCAGACUUGCGAGACCUCGAUGGACUCGGUUUGCAGCACGUUGGCGGAAGCUGGACAUUUGGAAGGAUUCUGGAGAGCAGCGACAGGACCAGGAGACUCGCAGAGUUUGCUGAGGAGGUGUUUCGGAGAAGAAGGGGCCGUUAGGGUCCAUAUCCCUUGCCGUGUGGUUAGUCGGCGUAGAAUACUGCCUCAGUUCGCCAUAGCUUGUCGUAAGAGGCGACUAACAUGGCAGGGCCCCCCAUCCGAGCUUGUCGGAGCUAAAGGGGUGGGUCACCGAGCCCACAAACUUCGGUACCACGGGUUGGUAGUGCUCCAAGCACUACCAAAUGAGGUUGGCCCCCUAGUGGGAGUAUCGUGGUGGCUGUGGUUGAUACCUACAUCGCGGGUAGAAUCUUCAGAUUCGACGUGGAGUUGCGUUAUACAACUCGGGUGCUGUGACCCAUAGAGCAGCAGAGGUGAUAGAUACACCUCGCCUCCCUCCGGAGGGAGUAUGUUGCCCGACACAAACAAAGCACAUACUCGACAGGUACCAGAGUGGUUGCUAUGUACAUAGCUAUAGCUUCUAGUCUGGGGCGCUGGCAGGCGUACCAUCCUUGCCCAUGCACUAUAUGCCUACUUGUAGGUAUAUUCGAGUGCCGUGGUUGUAAUCCCUUCAGUGUGGAACACGCCACGUAAAAUAAGAUCGGAGAGAUCCGAGACACGCCUGUCCCUAUCUACUAUCUAGCGAAACCACAGCCAAGGGAACGGGCUUGGAAUAAUUAGCGGGGAAAGAAGACCCUUUUGAGCUUGACUCUAAUCUGGCAGUGUAAGGAGACAUAAGAGGUGUAGAAUAAGUGGGAGAUAUUAGACCUCGGUUUGGUAUCGCCAAUGAAAUACCACUACUCUUAUUGUUUCCUUACAUUGCCAGGUAGGGAGUUUGACUGGGGCGGUACAUCUCUCAAAUAAUAACGGAGGUGUCCCAAGGCCAGCUCAGUGCGGACAGAAACCACACAUAGAGCAAAAGGGCAAAUGCUGACUUGAUCUCGGUGUUCAGUACACACAGGGACAGCAAAAGCUCGGCCUAUCGAUCCUUUUGGUUUAAAGAGUUUUUAACAAGAGGUGUCAGAAAAGUUACCAUAGGGCUAACUGGCUUGUGGCGGCCAAGCGUUCAUAGCGACGUCGCUUUUUGAUCCUUCGAUGUCGGCUCUUCCUAUCAUUGUGAAGCAAAAUUCACCAAGCGUUGGAUUGUUCACCCAUGCAAGGGAACGUGAGCUGGGUUUAGACCGUCGUGAGACAGGUUAGUUUUACCCUACUAAUGACAAAACGUUGUUGCGACAGCAUUCCUGCGUAGUACGAGAGGAACCGCAGGUACGGACCAAUGGCACAAUACUUGUUCGAGCGAACAGUGGUAUGACGCUACGUCCGUUGGAUUAUGCCUGAACGCCUCUAAGGUCGUAUCCGUGCUGGACUGCAAUGAUAAAGUAAGGGGCAAUUUGCUAUUGUAUGGUCUUACUAAACCUAUUUAAAGUUUAUUAAUUUACUUU